CCCCAGACUCCUACGGGAGGCAGCAGUGGGGAAUAUUGGGCAACGGAGGAAACUCUGACCCAGCAACGCCGCGUGAAUGAUGAAGGUCUUCGGAUUGUAAAGUUCUUUUCUAAGGGAAGAAGAAAGUGACGGUACCUUAGGAAUAAGCCUCGGCUAACUACGUGCCAGCAGCCGCGGUAAUACGGAGGAUGCGAGCGUUAUCCGGAUUUAUUGGGUUUAAAGGGUGCGCAGGCGGGCUGUUAAGCCGGCGGUAAAAAUUCAGGGCUCAACCCUGUCGAGCCGUCGGAACUGGCAGUCUUGAGUGGGCGAGAAGUAUGCGGAAUGCGUGGUGUAGCGGUGAAAUGCAUAGAUAUCACGCAGAACGCCGAUUGCGAAGGCAGCAUACCGGCGCCCAACUGACGCUGAGGCACGAAAGCGUGGGGAUCGAACAGGAUUAGAUACCCCCGUAA
RNAcentral lists this ribosomal RNA (449 nucleotides) under uncultured bacterium. RNAcentral's name for it is "bacterial SSU rRNA". It matches the Rfam family "Bacterial small subunit ribosomal RNA", at positions 329 to 793 of the family's 1533-position model. The record is from RNAcentral.